This 76-nucleotide transfer RNA is filed under the name Erythrobacter sp. RNAcentral's name for it is "tRNA-Thr". It matches the Rfam family "tRNA". From Rfam's summary of the family: Transfer RNA (tRNA) molecules are approximately 80 nucleotides in length. Their secondary structure includes four short double-helical elements and three loops (D, anti-codon, and T loops). Lineage: Bacteria; Pseudomonadati; Pseudomonadota; Alphaproteobacteria; Sphingomonadales; Erythrobacteraceae. RNAcentral also lists the same sequence under 34 other names. The record is from RNAcentral.
GCCGGUUUAGCUCAGUUGGUAGAGCAGUUGAUUUGUAAUCAUCAGGCCAGGGGUUCGAAUCCUCUAACCGGCACCA